Molecule: ribosomal RNA, 427 nt
Filed under: uncultured bacterium
Lineage: Bacteria
Description: bacterial SSU rRNA
Rfam family: Bacterial small subunit ribosomal RNA
Source: RNAcentral
UGAGGAAUAUUGGACAAUGGGCGCAAGCCUGAUCCAGCCAUGCCGCGUGCAGGAUGAAGGCCUUCGGGUUGUAAACUGCUUUUGUACGGAACGAAAAGACUCCUUCUAAUAAAGGGGGUCCAUGACGGUACCGUAAGAAUAAGCACCGGCUAACUACGUGCCAGCAGCCGCGGUAAUACGUAGGGUGCGAGCGUUAAUCGGAAUUACUGGGCGUAAAGCGUGCGCAGGCGGUUAUAUAAGACAGAUGUGAAAUCCCCGGGCUCAACCUGGGAACUGCAUUUGUGACUGUAUAGAUAGAGUACGGCAGAGGGGGAUGGAAUUCUGCGUGUAGCAGUGAAAUGCGUAGAUAUGCGGAGGAACACCGAUGGCGAAGGCAAUCCCCUGGGCCUGUACUGACGCUCAUGCACGAAAGCGUGGGGAGCAAAAA